UCUCUCAUAGUACAACUGGUAAUACACACAUUACUUAUUUGAAGGCGUUGCGACCUGGCAUGAUUAUACGUCGGUGUGAGAUCUGGGUUCGAUUCCCGGUGGGAGAG
This is a non-coding RNA of Pluteus cervinus, 107 nucleotides long. Lineage: Eukaryota; Fungi; Basidiomycota; Agaricomycetes; Agaricales; Pluteaceae. The record is from the annotation of a GenBank genome assembly.